ACAAUAGUGUGCUGAUUUUAGAAGCCUGACGGUUAGCAAUACGAGGGGCAGGAGUAAAGAUCUAUCGGACCUAGCAUAUAAAAAGCAGUAAAAGCAUACGAGAUCUACCAACCGAUACGAUCAGAUAACUGUGAACAUUUAAACAAGGCAAGGGAACCGAUAAAAACAACCUAGCUAGAUCUAAGUCGUUCGAUAACUCUGAGCGCUUAGGAACAACCAAGGAGCCGAUAAAGACAACCUAGAUAGAUCUAAGCAAACUUGAUAACUGUGAGCAACA
This 277-nucleotide long non-coding RNA is filed under the name Setaria viridis. RNAcentral describes it as "long non-coding RNA (SVIR_LNC003079)". Lineage: Eukaryota; Viridiplantae; Streptophyta; Magnoliopsida; Poales; Poaceae. The record is from RNAcentral.